GCUAAGUGAUGGCGAAAAGAGACGGUAGUACGGAGGGGGCGGUCGUUAAUCGGAAUUACUGAGCGUAAAGCGUUCGUAGGUGGCUUGGUAAGUCAGAUGUGAAAUACCUAAGCUUAACUUGGGAAUUGCAUUCGAUACUAGGAAGCUAGAGUAUGGGAGAGGGUGGUAGAAUUCCAGGUGUAGCGGUGAAAUGCGUAGAGAUCUGGAGGAAUACCAAUGGCGAAGGCAGCCAUCUGGCCUAAUACUGACGCUGAGGUACGAAAGCAUGGGGAGCAAACAGGAUUAGAUACCCCUGUAGUC
This 300-nucleotide ribosomal RNA is filed under the name uncultured Lactobacillus sp. Its description in RNAcentral is "bacterial SSU rRNA". It matches the Rfam family "Bacterial small subunit ribosomal RNA", at positions 496 to 795 of the family's 1533-position model. The record is from RNAcentral. Lineage: Bacteria; Bacillati; Bacillota; Bacilli; Lactobacillales; Lactobacillaceae.